This 470-nucleotide ribosomal RNA is filed under the name Yersinia pestis. RNAcentral's name for it is "SSU rRNA". It matches the Rfam family "Eukaryotic small subunit ribosomal RNA", at positions 1213 to 1699 of the family's 1831-position model. Lineage: Bacteria; Pseudomonadati; Pseudomonadota; Gammaproteobacteria; Enterobacterales; Yersiniaceae. The record is from RNAcentral.
CCUCACCCGGCCCGGACACGGACAGGAUUGACAGAUUGAUAGCUCUUUCUCGAUUCCGUGGGUGGUGGUGCAUGGCCGUUCUUAGUUGGUGGAGCGAUUUGUCUGGUUAAUUCCGAUAACGAACGAGACUCUGGCAUGCUAACUAGUUACGCGACCCCCGAGCGGUCGGCGUCCCCCAACUUCUUAGAGGGACAAGUGGCGUUCAGCCACCCGAGAUUGAGCAAUAACAGGUCUGUGAUGCCCUUAGAUGUCCGGGGCUGCACGCGCGCUACACUGACUGGCUCAGCGUGUGCCUACCCUACGCCGGCAGGCGCGGGUAACCCGUUGAACCCCAUUCGUGAUGGGGAUCGGGGAUUGCAAUUAUUCCCCAUGAACGAGGAAUUCCCAGUAAGUGCGGGUCAUAAGCUUGCGUUGAUUAAGUCCCUGCCCUUUGUACACACCGCCCGUCGCUACUACCGAUUGGAUGGUUU